Molecule: ribosomal RNA, 253 nt
Filed under: uncultured bacterium
Lineage: Bacteria
Description: partial 16S ribosomal RNA
Rfam family: Bacterial small subunit ribosomal RNA
Source: RNAcentral
UACGUAGGCAGCAAGCGUUGUUCGGAGUUACUGGGCGUAAAGGGUGUGUAGGCGGUUGUUUAAGUUUGGUGUGAAAGCCCCCGGCUCAACUGGGGAGGGUCAUUCGAUACUGAUCGACUCGAAGGCAGGAGAGGGAAGUGGAAUUCCCGGUGUAGUGGUGAAAUGCGUAGAUAUCGGGAGGAACACCAGUGGCGAAGGCGACUUCCUGGCCUGUUCUUGACGCUGAGGCGCGAAAGCUAGGGGAGCAAACGGG